UUGACGUGAACGUAGCCCUCUAUUUAUCCACAGAACAGGUACAGCCGCAGUGCCAGCCUCCUCUCACAGCCACACCACUCUGCCUCAACCCUGAUCUGGAGGGACCAGCUCCAGGGUUGAGAAGGUAAUCCCACUAAAUCACGCUUCUAUAGAG
RNAcentral lists this small RNA (154 nucleotides) under Sphenodon punctatus (tuatara). RNAcentral describes it as "TUC338 (ENSSPUG00000016704.1)". Lineage: Eukaryota; Metazoa; Chordata; Lepidosauria; Sphenodontia; Sphenodontidae. The record is from RNAcentral.